RNAcentral lists this small RNA (28 nucleotides) under Bombyx mori (domestic silkworm). RNAcentral describes it as "ovarian small RNA-20492". Lineage: Eukaryota; Metazoa; Arthropoda; Insecta; Lepidoptera; Bombycidae. The record is from RNAcentral.
UACAUUGUUGAUGUGUAUGGGCUCUAGU